Long non-coding RNA from Hirundo rustica (Barn swallow), 1195 nucleotides. RefSeq lists it as uncharacterized. Lineage: Eukaryota; Metazoa; Chordata; Aves; Passeriformes; Hirundinidae. The transcript is spliced from 5 exons. The record is from RefSeq and is a predicted model, not a curated record.
AGGAGAUUAUGCCCCUUAGAGAGCGAACGCAGAGACCUCGGGACGGAGCGAACACUGGCCCUCAGUCUUUUGCUCAAGGUGACUGAUUGAAAACAGAGCUGUACGUGUGCAUAAUAAAACAACUCUUUCUGUGGAAGGCUCUGCUGCUGCGCUUUGGACGCUUUGCCAUGAAUAGUCAAUAGCUCCCAGUUUUGUGCAGGCAAGAGGAUGGUUGUUAGUGCUGUUGCAGAGCAUCUUUGCUGCCUCAUCUCCAAAAUUCGCCCUGUCUUUCCUUCUCUGGAGAAAAAUCAAAAGGUGUCUGUGUGCUCAGUGCUGCAGUGAACAUAGAGCUAUGCCUCUGAACCAAUAAUGAAACACCUACAUGUGCUGAACAUGAGGAAGUUCAAACAGAGUUCCCCCAGCAGAAGUCCCAUAGCUGAGCUAUUCCAGUUUUGAAACAGAAAGCACCAUCUGCUUCUAACAAAUUAGUAUUGGCAUCUGUUUAAACUUCUGAAGAAUGGGACUGUGAAGGAAAUCUGGACUGCAACAUGUGCUUUUCUAAGAAAAGCUGGCAUGCUCUGCGUGCACCAAAAGCAGUUGGUGAACGUCUUAAAAAAAAAAAAAAAAAAAAAAAAUUGAAAUCUUUAAGGUUUUUUUAAAUGCCUACAAGAGCUGGGAAGCCACAUGUCCAAAUAUCCAUAUAUUUCCCUGGGAAUAGAAUUAACCUGUAAUUUGAAAAAGCACUUAAACAAGUGGGGGAAAAAAAAAACAACAAUGAACCCCUAGCAACUGCUGCGGGCCAGUUACCUCAGCAGAAAACAGCCAGCAGGCUUGUUUCCCAUCUCUUUUGGGAAGGAACAAUGUCACUCAAUGUAACCAGAGGCUUUUUAAGAGGGGACUGUCAGAGCCAAAUAGAUUCAGGCACAUUACAGGCCAGUUCUGCUUUCUGUGCACUCUCAAAACUUGCAGAACAGCCAAGAAGAUUUUGGAGAAUGCCUGGAAUGCAGGAUUGGGCCCUGACUAUAUUUUUCUCCUAAAGGCCAGGCUAACAACCAAAAGGCUUUCAUCCUUAGUUUGCCUGAAGACACAGCCAAAAAGAGAAGAUUAGAAAACAAAACCAAAAAAAGCCAGGGCUGUGAAGGCUAUGAAAACUAAUGAUGCUGUCUCCAUAACACACUUUCAUCUCUAGGAACGUUGAAAACAUGUUAGAAAUGUA